RNAcentral lists this ribosomal RNA (282 nucleotides) under uncultured bacterium. RNAcentral describes it as "partial 16S ribosomal RNA". It matches the Rfam family "Bacterial small subunit ribosomal RNA", at positions 29 to 289 of the family's 1533-position model. The record is from RNAcentral.
ACGAACGCUGGCGGCGUGCCUAAUACACGCAAGUCGAACGCUUCUUUCCUCCCGAGUGCUUGCACUCAAUUGGAAAGAGGAGUGGCGGACGGGUGAGUAACACGUGGGUAACCUACCCAUCAGAGGGGGAUAACACUUGGAAACAGGUGCUAAUACCGCAUAACAGUUUAUGCCGCAUGGCAUAAGAGUGAAAGGCGCUUUCGGGUGUCGCUGAUGGAUGGACCCGCGGUGCAUUAGCUAGUUGGUGAGGUAACGGCUCACCAAGGCCACGAUGCAUAGCCG